This is a small nuclear RNA of Perognathus longimembris pacificus (Pacific pocket mouse), 107 nucleotides long. The record is from RefSeq and is a predicted model, not a curated record. Lineage: Eukaryota; Metazoa; Chordata; Mammalia; Rodentia; Heteromyidae.
AUGAUCGCUUUGGCAGCAUGUAUUCUAAAAUUGGACCGAUACAGAGAAGAUUAGCAUGGCCCCUGAACAAGGAUGACACACAAAUUUGUGAAGCAUUCCAUAUUUUU